GCUCACCAAGGCAACGAUGCGUAGCCGACCUGAGAGGGUGAUCGGCCACACUGGGACUGAGACGGCCCAGACUCCUACGGGAGGCAGCAGUAGGGAAUCUCCGCAAUGGACGAAAGUCUGACGGAGCAACGCCGCGUGAGUGAUGAAGGUUUUCGGAUCGUAAAGCUCUGUUGUUAGGAAGAACAAGUGCCGUUCGAAUAGGGCGGUACCUUGACGGUACCUAACCAGAAAGCCAUUGNUAACUACGUGCCAGCAGCCGCGGUAAUACGUAGGUGGCAAGCGUUGUCCGGAAUUAUUGGGCGUAAAGGGCUCGCAGGCGGUUUCUUAAGUCUGAUGAAAGCCCCGGCUCAACCGGGGAGGGUCACUGGNAAACUGGGAACUGAGUGCAGAAGAGGAGUGGAAUUCCACGUGUACGGUGAAAUGCGUAGAGAUGUGGAGGAACACCAGUGGCGAAGGCGACUCUCUGGUCUGUAACUGACGCUGAGGAGCGAAAGCGNGGGAGGNGAACAGGAUACCCUGGUAGUCCACGCCGUAAACGAUGAGUGCUAAGUGUUAGGGGUUUCCGCCCCUUAGUGCUGCAGCUAACGCAUUAAGCACUCCGCCUGGGGAGUACGGUCGCAAGACUGAAACUCAAAAGAAUUGACGGGGCCCGCACAAGCGGUGGAGCAUGUGGUUUAAUUCGAAGCAACGCGAAGAACCUUACCAGGUCUUGACAUCCCCGACAAUCCUAGAGAUAGGACGUUCCCUUCGGGGCAGAGUGACAGGUGGUGCAUGGUUGUCGUCAGCUCGUGUCGUGAGAUGUUGGGUUAAGUCCCGCAACGAGCGCAACCUUGAUCUUAGUUGCCAGCAUUCAGUUGGGCACUCUAAGGUGACUGCCGGUGACAAACCGAGGAAGUGGGAUGACGUCAAAUCAUCAUGCCCUUGACCUGGGCUACACACGUGCUACAAUGGACAGAACAAAGGGCAGCGAAACCGCGAGGUUAGCCAAUCCCACAAAUCUGUUUCAGUUCGGAUCGCAGUCUGCAACUCGACUGCGUGAAGCUGGAAUCGCUAGUAAUCGCGGAUCAGCAUGCCGCGGUGAAUACGUUCCGGCCUUGUACACACCGCCCGUCACACCACGAGAGUUUGUAACACCCGAAGUCGGUGAGGUAACCUUUUAGGAGCCAGCCGCCGAAGGUGGGACAGAUGAUUGGGGUGAAGUCGUAACAAGGUAGCCGUAUCGGAAGGUGCGGCUG
This 1235-nucleotide ribosomal RNA is filed under the name metagenome. RNAcentral's name for it is "bacterial SSU rRNA". It matches the Rfam family "Bacterial small subunit ribosomal RNA", at positions 263 to 1520 of the family's 1533-position model. The record is from RNAcentral.